Molecule: ribosomal RNA, 388 nt
Filed under: uncultured bacterium
Lineage: Bacteria
Description: partial 16S ribosomal RNA
Rfam family: Bacterial small subunit ribosomal RNA
Source: RNAcentral
AUACGUAGGUGGCGAGCGUUAUCCGGAAUUACUGGGUGUAAAGGGAGCGUAGGCGGACGCUUAAGUCAGUUGUGAAAGUUUGCGGCUCAACCGUAAAAUUGCAGUUGAUACUGGGUGUCUUGAGUACAGUAGAGGCAGGCGGGAUUCGUGGGGUAGGGGUGAAAUGCUUAGAUAUCACGAAGAACUCCGAUUGCGAAGGCAGCCUGCUGGACUGUAACUGACGCUGAUGCUCGAAAGUGUGGGUAUCAAACAGGAUUAGAUACCCUGGUAGUCCACACAGUAAACGAUGAAUACUCGCUGUUUGCGAUAUACAGUAAGCGGCCAAGCGAAAGCGUUAAGUAUUCCACCUGGGGAGUACGCCGGCAACGGUGAAACUCAAAUGAAUUGA